Long non-coding RNA from Callithrix jacchus (white-tufted-ear marmoset), 424 nucleotides. The record is from Ensembl. Lineage: Eukaryota; Metazoa; Chordata; Mammalia; Primates; Cebidae.
AAUUUGUGAAAAAGCUAAGAUACAUGGCAGCAACAAAAAUGGAGAAAGGUACUAUUUAUGAAUGGCCUUGAUUUCAGGAGUAAGCCGAUGUGGGGAGAGACUUGAUUGUGACUGAAGCAUGCUCACCUCACAAGACGAUGGGUCAUAAGAAUCUCAUCUUGGUGUCCAGGCCCUUGUUCUUCCACCUCUAACUCCAAUGCAACCUCCUGUGAUGCUGGUGGAUCCAAAAGGAUAGUUCAUGACACCAGGACCUCAUCCUCUUGCUCCUCCAGAAGGCUUGUGUGGACCACCAUGAGGAUGUUUUCAGCCAAGCCAUUUUGGUGGCCUGCAACAUUUUUCUAUCAAAGUAAGAAGCAUCUAUCCAACAAAGAAUUGUCAUUUUCCUCUCCAUAGAUUUCCUCCCAUUGCUGAGCUUCCAGAAGAG